UGAGUACGAGAUGCUACGGCGUCGAAGCAGUGUAUGUCAGACUUCCAAGAAAAGCUCGCAAUGUCAUAAAUAAAUAAUGCCUGUACCAUAACCGACACAGGUGGGUAGGUAGAGUAUACUAAGGGGCGCGAGAUAACUCUCUCUAAGGAACUCGGCAAAAUGACUCCGUAACUUCGGGAGAAGGAGUGCCUUAUUUAUAAGGUUGCAAUAACAGGAUCCAAGCAACUGUUUACCAAAAACACAGGUCUCCGCUAAGUCGUAAGACGAUGUAUGGGGGCUGACGCCUGCCCAGUGCCAGAAGGUUAAAGAAGUUGGUUAGCAUUAGCGAAGCUGAUAACUGAAGCCCUGGUGAACGGCGGCCGUAACAAUAACGGUCCUAAGGUAGCGAAAUUCCUUGUCGGGUAAGUUCCGACCCGCACGAAAGGCGUAAUGGUUUGGAUACUGUCUCGGAGAGGGGCUCGGUGAAAUAGACUUGUCUGUGAAGAUGCGGACUACCUGCACCAGGACAGAAAGACCCUAUGAAGCUUUACUGUAACUUGAAAUUGAAAUUGGACUUUAUUUGCGCAGUAUAGGUGGGAGGCGUUGAAAAUAUUCUUGCGGGGAUAUUGGAGCCAUCAGUGAGAUACCACUCUUGUAAUGUUAGAUUUCUAACUUUGUAUCAUAAUCUGGUCAAAGAACAGUUUCAGGCGGGCAGUUUGACUGGGGCGGUCGCCUCCCAAAUGGUAACGGAGGCGCACAAAGGUUUCCUCUGAACGUGUAGAAAUCGUAUCUAGAGUGUAAAGGCAUAAGGAAGCUUGACUGUGAGACCUACAAGUCGAGCAGGGACGAAAGUCGGUCUUAGUGAUCUGACGGUACUGAGUGGAAAGGCCGUCACUCAACGGAUAAAAGUUACUCUAAGGAUAACAGGCUGAUCUCCCCCAAGAGUUCACAUCGACGGGGAGGUUUGGCACCUCGAUGUCGGCUCAUCGCAUCCUGGGGCGGUAGUACGUCCCAAGGGUUGGGCUGUUCGCCCAUGAAAGCGGUACGCGAGCUGGGUUCAGAACGUCGUGAGACAGUUCGGUCCAUAUCCGGUGUAGGCGUUAGAAUAUUGAGAGGAGCCUUCUUUAGUACGAGAGGACCGAGAAGGAUAUACCUCUGGUGUACCAGUUAUCGUGCCAACGGUAAACGCUGGGUAGCUAUGUAUAGAGAGGAUAACCGCUGAAAGCAUCUAAGUGGGAAGCCCACCUCAAGAUAAGUAUUCUCAU
RNAcentral lists this ribosomal RNA (1244 nucleotides) under metagenome. RNAcentral describes it as "bacterial LSU rRNA". It matches the Rfam family "Bacterial large subunit ribosomal RNA", at positions 1564 to 2817 of the family's 2925-position model. The record is from RNAcentral.